UAAGACGAAGGAUGCAAGCGUUAUCCGGAUUCAUUGGGUUUAAAGGGAGCGUAGGCGGCCUUAUAAGUCAGUGGUGAAAUCUCGAGGCUCAACCUCGAAAUUGCCAUUGAUACUGUAGGGCUUGAGUACAGUUGCCGUUGGCGGAAUAUGACAUGUAGUGGUGAAAUACAUAGAGAUGUCAUAGAACACCGAUUGCGAAGGCAGCUAACGAAGCUGUAACUGACGCUGAGGCUCGAAAGUGCGGGGAUCAAACAGG
Molecule: ribosomal RNA, 256 nt
Filed under: uncultured bacterium
Lineage: Bacteria
Description: partial 16S ribosomal RNA
Rfam family: Bacterial small subunit ribosomal RNA
Source: RNAcentral